This 253-nucleotide ribosomal RNA is filed under the name uncultured bacterium. Its description in RNAcentral is "partial 16S ribosomal RNA". It matches the Rfam family "Bacterial small subunit ribosomal RNA", at positions 524 to 776 of the family's 1533-position model. The record is from RNAcentral.
UACGUAGGUGGCAAGCGUUGUCUGGAUUUACUGGGUGUAAAGGGCGUGUAGCCGGGCUUACAAGUCAGAUGUGAAAUCCGGGGGCUCAACCCCCGAACUGCAUUUGAAACUGUAGGUCUUGAGUAUCGGAGAGGCAGGCGGAAUUCCUAGUGUAGCGGUGAAAUGCGUAGAUAUUAGGAGGAACACCAGUGGCGAAGGCGGCCUGCUGGACGACAACUGACGGUGAGGCGCGAAAGCGUGGGGAGCAAACAGG